Molecule: long non-coding RNA, 578 nt
Organism: Saccostrea cuccullata (small rock oyster)
Lineage: Eukaryota; Metazoa; Mollusca; Bivalvia; Ostreida; Ostreidae
Exons: 2
Source: RefSeq, a predicted model, not a curated record
GUACAUGUAUAUUAAAAUCGCCAGCAAAUAUGUUAUCCAAAAUAGUGUUCAAUCAGAAUAUAACACGUUGUCCUAAGGAAGCUAUAAUACCGGGUAUAAAAGCUCUGCCGGGGUAAAGCUAUCAGUUGGCAUGUCACACUAUAUUAUACAUACAUUUAAUUAGCUUUAAAAGAUUGAUAAUUGGAAAAAAAAAACUCGUACUGUAGUAUUUUCUUCAGGUAAAAACAUGAAAUCUUUGGCUAGAAUAUUGCUGGUGAUGUUGUUCCUUGUGCUUGUGGAGUUUUCAUUCACGGAAGCUGGCUAUGUGUGUCAAUUCCUUGUUGGAGGAACUACCUUUGUUGCGGCUUCCUUAGUUGGACCGUGGCUGGGCAUUUUCACUGGACCUGCUGGAUCAACCUUAGCUGACAAAAUUUGCAAUUAAACUUAAACUAAAAAAAAUGUAUAAGGCUAUACAUUGUAUUCUAUUUUGUGGGCUCUAAAAAGAAUCAGUAGGAAUAAUACAUAAGAAACACAUGUUAACAUAGUAUAUAUUGGUCUUGAACCACUUUAUGAUAAAUUUAAAUAAAUUAAAACAUGAC